UAAACAGAGGGAGGCAAGACCGUGAGGUGGAGCGAACCCCUAAAAGCCGUCCCAGUUCAGAUCGCAGUCUGCAACUCGACUGCGUGAAGUCGGAAUCGCUAGUAAUCGCGGAUCAGCAUGCCGCGGUGAAUACGUUCCCGGGUCUUGUACACACCGCCCGUCGCACCAUGGGAGCCGGAAAUGCCCGAAGCCAGUGACCCAACCUUAGGGAGGGAGCUGUCGAAGGUGGAGCCGGUAACUGGGGUGAAGUCGUAACAAGGUAGC
Molecule: ribosomal RNA, 264 nt
Filed under: uncultured bacterium
Lineage: Bacteria
Description: partial 16S ribosomal RNA
Rfam family: Bacterial small subunit ribosomal RNA
Source: RNAcentral